This 275-nucleotide ribosomal RNA is filed under the name uncultured bacterium. RNAcentral's name for it is "partial 16S ribosomal RNA". It matches the Rfam family "Bacterial small subunit ribosomal RNA", at positions 338 to 611 of the family's 1533-position model. The record is from RNAcentral.
CCUACGGGGGGCUGCAGUAGGGAAUAUUGGACAAUGGGUGCAAGCCUGAUCCAGCCAUGCCGCGUGCAGGAAGAAGGCUUUCUGAGUUGUAAACUGCUUUUGCCAGGGGAUAAAAAGCCCGUGCGCGGGAAAUUGAAGGUACCUGGUGAAUAAGCCACGGCUAACUACGUGCCAGCAGCCGCGGUAAUACGUAGGUGGCAAGCGUUGUCCGGAUUUAUUGGGUUUAAAGGGUGCGUAGGCGGUCUUCUAAGUCAGUUGUGAAAUACUUCAGCUUA